CCGAAAAUCUUCGUGCGCUUGCGCCCCCUGAGAUGUUUUAACGGUAGAGUUGAGAACUUAUUGCCGAACAUUAGAGAGUUACCGAUGUCGACAUGAUCCUGGCUGCAUUCACCUUCCGAGUAACACUGUCUUCGAAAUGCAAAACACAGUGUUCGUACGCACAGGGAAAACCUGAAAAACUGGGAAAACUCAGGGAGUUUUUUAUAGCAGAGAGAAGUCAGGGAAUUUCGAAAAUAGGACUGGAAUUUUAAGUUUCUUGGAGAAAUUCGUUCUUAUACGUACAUUACUUGAUAUCAAACCUACUUUCUUUUUUUUCUUACUGAAAAUCGCUGGCUGUUGUUUGUAAAUUAGUAGUCGGACAGUAAAUUAAUUACUAGGUAAUAUUAAAGGCUGGAACACCUCGAAAAGUCAGGGAAUUUCGGGUUCCAAAAAGCGUACAAACCCUGAAAACAGUGAUUUAAUUGAAGUAUAGGUACCCGAGAGCAGAAUGUAUACAUAGAUCAUAAAUAAUAAUAGAUCAGAUGUAAUAAUGAUGCUGAGACCAAGAAAAGAAAUAGUGAGCAAGCGUCCAGCAGGUAUACGAGCGGUUUUUUGAAGUUUUCAACCAGUUUUUUGAAGAGUCUGAACCAGUUUUUUGAAGUUUUGAACCAGUUCUUUGAAGAUCUGAAGGGCAACUCUAUGGACCAGGAAUCGCCGAUUAGCAUAUUAAUGCGAUGGAAAUUGCGACCUGCACCUUUCCGGCCGCACGACAAAUGCAUACUGGAGACGCCUCGGUGAAAUGCUUGUACCAGGCAUAAUAUAACAUGUAUCCUAAUAAAAAAAUUCGAGAAGACUGUUGAAAUACAU
RNAcentral lists this long non-coding RNA (846 nucleotides) under Neodiprion pinetum (white pine sawfly). RNAcentral's name for it is "uncharacterized LOC124212130, transcript variant X1". The record is from RNAcentral. Lineage: Eukaryota; Metazoa; Arthropoda; Insecta; Hymenoptera; Diprionidae.